CGGGCGGAAACACAACGACGCAGUCACGCACCGGCUCUUUCCUCCACCCCUCGUAGGGCUAGCUAGGGUUUCUCCGCCCAAAUCGUGUAAUAAUAACCCACUUGAAGAUUCGCGCGAACGCUGCGGCGAUGGCCACCACCGUCCAGCCCCACUCCCCGGACCCAACAGCCAUCACCACCACCCCUGCCCCACCCCCUCCCCCUUCUCCACCUCGCCAGGAGAACCCGACCGCCGCGGGGGAAGGCGUAGAGAUCGCGGCGCUCGAUGAGCAGCCUGCCGCCGUCGCCGUCGCCGACAAGGGGAAGACGGCCCCCGGCGGCGGGAAGCUGGUGGCGGAGGCCAUGCGCAAGUGCGCGGCGCCCCGGUCGUCGCGCUACCACGGCGUGACGAGGCUCAAGUGGAGCGGCAAGUACGAGGCACACCUCUGGGACAACACCAGCCAGGUUGAGGGGCGCAAGCGCAAGGGCAAGCAUGUGUACUUGGGAAGCUAUGUUACUGAAGAGAAUGCUGCAAGGGCACAUGACCUUGCAGCCCUGAAAUAUUGGGGCAUAACUCAACCCACCAAACUAAACUUCAAUAUUUCUGAUUAUGCAAAAGAAAUUGAGAUCAUGAAGAGCAUGAAUCAAGAUGAAUUUGUGGCCUACAUAAGGAGGCAGAGUAGUUGUUUCUCAAGAGGAACAUCGUCAUACAGGGGUGUAACAAGACGAAAGGAUGGUAAAUGGCAAGCACGUAUUGGUAGGAUUGGUGAGAGUAGAGACACUAAAGACAUCUAUCUUGGGACCUUUGAAACUGAAGUGGAGGCAGCUGAAGCGUAUGACCUAGCAGCAAUUCAGCUCCGUGGUGUUCAUGCUGUGACCAACUUUGAUAUCAGCAACUACUCCGAAGAAGGUUUGAAGAAACUAGAAGGCUCAUCCGAGGUAGUGAACCUGGAGGACCAAUCAGAAGUCACUAAGUUAGCUGUGACCAACUUGGAUAUUAGCCAACACUGCGAAGAUGGUUUGAAGAAACUAGAUGGCGCAUCCCAGAUAGUGAACCUGGAGGACCAAUCAGAAGUCACCAAGUUAUCUGUGACCAACUUUGAUAUUAGCAACUGCUGUGAAGAUGGUUUGAAGAAACUAGAUGGCGCAUCCCAGAUAGUGAACCUGGAGGACCAAUCAGAAGUCACCAAGUUAUCUGUGACUAACUUUGAUAUUAGCAACUGCUGUGAAGAUGGUUUGAAGAAACUAGAAGGCUCAUCCGAGGUAGCGAACCUGGAGGACCAAUCAGAAGUCACAAAGUUAGCUGGACAAUAGAUAUUAGAAUAGCAACAUGUAAAUUAUUUAUUUCUUCCUUUUUAUCUUUUCUCUGAUCGUCAGUCUCUCCACCUUUCUCUUUUCUUGAUUGAUGAUGAGAGUGUCUUUUCUUCGUCCACCUUUCCUGAAACUUUUUUUUCCCCAAGGAAUUUCCCUUCGCUGGUUGCCAACUCUAUUAUUUACCAGCUCCAGAGUAGGAUCGUGUGAUGCUGUACUCUGUAUUCUCAUGUACACUGAUUACAAACCAUUGAUAGUAUUUGUAGACAUUACAACACAAAGGAAGUUCAUUCUUCUAUUUUUGUAUAUUUGUUUUUAUCCUCC
RNAcentral lists this ribosomal RNA (1613 nucleotides) under Triticum aestivum (bread wheat). RNAcentral describes it as "partial small subunit ribosomal RNA". The record is from RNAcentral. Lineage: Eukaryota; Viridiplantae; Streptophyta; Magnoliopsida; Poales; Poaceae.